Molecule: long non-coding RNA, 482 nt
Filed under: Hordeum vulgare
Lineage: Eukaryota; Viridiplantae; Streptophyta; Magnoliopsida; Poales; Poaceae
Description: long non-coding RNA (HVUL_LNC006977)
Source: RNAcentral
AGGUAAACAAAGCAAAGUAGAAGUGAAAGUGGAGACGAUAGUUGUGAAUAGACCCAAGGGCCGUAGUGUUCACUAGUGGCUUCUCUCAUGAAAGCAAGUAGACGGUGGGUGAACGAAUUACUGUUGAGCAAUUGAUAGAAGUGCGCAAAGUUGUGACGUUAUCUAAGGCAAUGAUUGUAUCUAUAGGCAUCACGUCCAAAACAAGUAGACCGAUACUUUCUCCAUCUACUACUAUAACUCCACACGUCGACCGCUAUCCAACAUGCAUCUAGUGUAUUAAGUCCAAAAGAACAGAGUAACGCCUUAAGCAAGAUGACAUGAUGUAGAUGGACAAUCUCAAAUCUAUGAUGAAAGCCAUAUUGUUACCCUUGAUGGAAACAACACGAUGCGGGCCUUGCUACCCCUUCUGUCACUGGGAAAGGUCACCACACGGUAUGAACCCAAAACCAAGCACUUGUCCCAUUGCAAGAAUCAUAGGUCUA